AGAGUUUGAUUAUGGCUCAGGAUGAACGCUAGCUACAGGCUUAACACAUGGCAAGGUCGAGGGGUAGCAGGGUAGCAAUACCGCUGACGACCGGCGCACGGGUGAGUAACACGUAUCCAACCUUCCCAUAACUCAGGGAUAGCCUUUCGAAAGAAAGAUUAAUACCUGAUGGUACUUUUUCAAGGCAUCUUGAAAAAGUUAAGAUUUAUUGGUAUGGAUGGGAUGCGUUCCAUUAGAUAGUUGGUGAGGUAACGGCUCACCAAGUCUUCGAUGGAUAGGGGUUCUGAGAGGAAGGUCCCCCCACAUUGGUACUGAGACACGGACCAAACUCCUACGGGAGGCAGCAGUGAGGAAUAUUGGUCAAUGGGCGAGAGCCUGAACCAGCCAAGUAGCGUGAAAAGGAUGAAGGUCCUAUGGAUUGUAAACUUCUUUUAUAGUAGAAUAAAGUGAGCCACGUGUGGUUUUUUGUAUGUAUACUAUGAAUAAGGAUCGGCUAACUCCGUGCCAGCCGCGGC
Molecule: ribosomal RNA, 515 nt
Filed under: uncultured bacterium
Lineage: Bacteria
Description: bacterial SSU rRNA
Rfam family: Bacterial small subunit ribosomal RNA
Source: RNAcentral